This 334-nucleotide long non-coding RNA is filed under the name Elaeis guineensis (African oil palm). RNAcentral's name for it is "long non-coding RNA (EGUI_LNC082900)". Lineage: Eukaryota; Viridiplantae; Streptophyta; Magnoliopsida; Arecales; Arecaceae. The record is from RNAcentral.
CUCCCCCAGGAUGGGAGCUCGACGGACAGAGUCCCUCAGAGAGCCCCAAGGGGGCAAGCCCAGCCUCAAAGUCGGGCAAUAGACGAAGAGGUACUUCCCCUUCCAGUUGUGGAUUGAAGAGGGAGCACCUUUCAGCAACCCCUUCUUGCCAAACUGGGGGGAGAAAUACCACCAGUCCUUUACCGAGGGAUGACGCUUGAAGGUGUAGAAAUGCCUAAACAAAGAGAGGGAUGGCUGAACUUCGAAUACGUGGCAAAGGGAGAGAAAACCUAUCAAAAACCUAAAGAAAUUCGGCGCCACUGAAGCUAAAGAAAUAUCUAAGAAACGAAAGAGG